CCCUCAUCAUCUUCUAUAAAACCUUCCCCUCUUGAGUUCAUAAAGACAUCAAACUGCACUAUAAAAUGGAAAGAAAUUGCAUGAGUGUAUCUCCUCCCAUUUGAACUUUGGAAACACUCUGCCGUAGUAAAGCGUUCCCAACAUGUGUAGUCAUUCUUUCUGUUCUACCCCACGAUCGCCUCUCAAACUGUGCUCUUCAGGAGCGAUGCUGCUGUUGUGGAUAGCAUUAUCUCUCACCUGGCCUGGCACAAUUGGCUUUACGAUCCAUAGCAUGAAGGAAGGUCUGUGUCUAGAGGACUCGUAUGAAGGAGCUGCUGAGUUAAAGACAUGCAGUCUGGACUCAGUCCUGCAGCAGUGGAAGUGGACAGAUCACUGGUUCCUAGUAAACACAGGAACCCUGAGGUGUCUCUCUGCCGUCCACACUGACCCAGUCCAGACUAUCGCUUGUGAUUCGAGUGAACAUAUCAAAUGGCAGUGCAAAGCUCAACAGCUCAUCAGCCUGCAAAACUCUCUGGCAUUGAGCACAGAGAAAGGAAAACUCAGACUGAACACGGGUGAACACGACACAUGGAAAUCUCUGGAUGCGGGCGACAUCUGCCAGAAUAAACUGAGGUCCAGAAGAGAAAGCGAUUUAGAGACCGACGAGUUUGACUUUGCUGAAGGGCCGCCUGCACCGAGAAUGACAGAGGCACAGAAGAAGUUUUUACAGUGGUAUUACCGCACAGAGGACCCAACAACGUGGAUGUUUGGCAUGCUGGCAUUUGCUUUUCUGGGUCUUCUGAUUGGCGCAAUGCUGAUGGUCAUGGGCAUGAUGGCUAAUAGGUUAGUAGCACACGAGUAACACAUUGGGUUAAUAACAUUAUGACUAUAGUUAACAAAGAGCAGUUUUAUAGUAAACAAAUACACAAGUAAAGACAUAUAUACUCAAAUACAUUUUAAAGCAUCACAUAUCUAUCAUAUUUAUCGCCUUUCCUAUGUAGUAAGUAAGCUUGCUCAGUAACUCACCUGGUACUUUCGAUGCAAAGCACUCUGGUGUGAUUCCAGUGGAACACUGCUCGAAAAAAGUGCUCAAAGCCAUGUAAAAACAAGGUAAAAUUGCAUGGUCAUCAGCCAUUUGAUUUCCGAACUGCCGCAAUAUGUGCAUUUACCAAAGUCACGAUUAUCUGAUUCUGAGAAAAUUGAACACACCACUAUACAUUUCACUUUGAAACUAAUGCAAGACAUGCAAAAAGAUAUGUGAUAUUAUUUUUGCAAAAAAUGUUGCCACAGGCAUAUCAUUUUCAUGAGCCUGGGUUGUUUUUCUUCAGAUCAGUGUGCUGGUCUCUCUGGGUUAUUUAUAGCACUAAAACACAAUUUUGAAAGAAUAAAGAGAAAAAAAUAAAAAAUAGGUUUUCAGGCUAAUAGUUCUAAUUAUUUUUAUAAGUGUGAUCCAUAAGAGAAAAUCUCAAGUUUCUGCUAGAGAUGUUUUAGAAGAGAUCUCAAGAGCUUCUCAGAUUUUGAAACCUUACAAUGUCUUUCGCAAGUAAAUUUGCCAUGAUACCAAAGUCUGCUAUAAAACGUCAGAGAUCUUAAAACCCCCUUAACUGUCACCGUCCCACCUGUGGGACGCUUGGCGCUCUUUUUUCUGUCAUCCUUUUUCUCUAGAAAAUGUUUUAGUAACCAUCAUAAAUGAUAUAUCGUUUGAAAGCUAAGAAGCCCAAGAUUCAUCCUGAGAAAACCAUUUUGAAAUCAAAUAUUGCGUUACCAUGGAAAUCAUACUUUAAAAUGUUUUGGUGGUCUCCUCCCCCUUAGCGGGCGGUGUCAAUGUCAUAUUACAAAAUGUCUUUUACAAUCAAAACUUUUUAUAAUCUUGACAAAAAACAUAUCAUUGGAAAAAUCUGAGUCUCAGGAUUCCAUAUUGCAUAUUGUGAUAGAAGCAAUAUUGGCAGAGAAAUUUCAACAUAUGUUACAGAAAAAUGCAUUUAAGCUGUUUGUGGUAUAAUGCCCUAAAUCAAAUCUUACAGAAACCUCAAUUUUUUUCAGAUCAACUUCAAAUUUGGAACAUAACUUAUUUAGACAGAAG
This 2062-nucleotide long non-coding RNA is filed under the name Sinocyclocheilus grahami. RNAcentral's name for it is "lncRNA (ENSSGRG00000036423.1)". The record is from RNAcentral. Lineage: Eukaryota; Metazoa; Chordata; Actinopteri; Cypriniformes; Cyprinidae.